GACCCAGUUGCACAUGGUGUGCAUCUGCCUUGAAUACAUGAGAAACUUCUAUACAGACAUCACUGGUUCGACUCCAGGCUGGGUCA
Molecule: non-coding RNA, 86 nt
Organism: Mycena galericulata
Lineage: Eukaryota; Fungi; Basidiomycota; Agaricomycetes; Agaricales; Mycenaceae
Source: the annotation of a GenBank genome assembly